CUGACAACUGCAAGGGACUCCUACUUCUACAAAGGGCUUAGCAAACAUUUAAAGGAAGAUUGGACUACAGGACAUCUCUAUGUGUAUCCUGCAGUCUGUACACACUGUACACACCUACCAUGUGAUUUAAGGAAGAAGCACGCAGCAGAAUGGCAUUUGGAAAAAGUAAGUCACUUGUGACCCUGAUGGGGAAGAGGGAGCAGUGAAAAAGCAGCAGUGAAUCAUGUGGAGGCUGGCUUCCAGGGCUGGGAGCCGAGAGGUUGCUGGAAGCUGCCACUGGCCUGAAUAGAGCCCAACUCACUCUGCUGCUCCCGGGUUUCCAGCUGCCCUGUGCGUGGCUGCUUUUGUGAAAAGAGCUGCACAUUUGCAAUUCGUGGCACAGUGGAAAAGUGCUGUGUGUUGGGAAUAGCACUGUUUGCAUGCAUUUUAGUGUGAGGUUAAAUGGCAAUGGAGACUGAGCUCACGUUGUCCCAGGAACACAAUGGCUGAGGUUUAACAUCUCACACC
RNAcentral lists this long non-coding RNA (507 nucleotides) under Cyanistes caeruleus (blue tit). Its description in RNAcentral is "lncRNA (ENSCCEG00000022608.1)". Lineage: Eukaryota; Metazoa; Chordata; Aves; Passeriformes; Paridae. The record is from RNAcentral.